AGCAGCCGCGGUAAUUCCAGCUCCAAUAGCGUAUAUUAAAGUUGUUGCAGUUAAAAAGCUCGUAGUUGAAUUUCGGGGUUAGUAGGUUGGUCAUGCCUCUGGUAUGUACUGGUCUCACUGAUUCCUCCUUCCUGAUGAACCUUAAUGCCAUUAAUUUGGUGUUUUGGGAAUUUGGACUGUUACUUUGAAAAAAUUAGAGUGUUUAAAGCAAGCUAACGCUUGAAUACAUUAGCAUGGAAUAAUGAAAUAGGACGUUCGAUCCUAUUUUGUUGGUUUCUAGGAUUGACGUAAUGAUUAAUAGGGAUAGUUGGGGGCAUUAGUAUUCAAUUGUCAGAGGUGAAAUUCUUGGAUUUAUUGAAGACUAACUACUGCGAAAGCAUUUGCCAAGAUGUUUUCAUUAAUCAAGAACGAAAGUUAGGGAUCGAAGACGAUCAGAUACCGUCGUAGUCUUAACCAUAAACUAUGACCGACUAGGGAUCGGAUGAUGUUAAUUUUUUAUGUACUCAUUCGCGCCUUACGG
Molecule: ribosomal RNA, 520 nt
Filed under: uncultured Glomus
Lineage: Eukaryota; Fungi; Glomeromycota; Glomeromycetes; Glomerales; Glomeraceae
Description: SSU rRNA
Rfam family: Eukaryotic small subunit ribosomal RNA
Source: RNAcentral